Molecule: small nuclear RNA, 93 nt
Filed under: Pan troglodytes (chimpanzee)
Lineage: Eukaryota; Metazoa; Chordata; Mammalia; Primates; Hominidae
Source: RNAcentral
GUACUCACUUGGGCAGGUCAUAUACUGAAAUUGGAGUUAGCACGGCCCCUGUGCAAGGAUGACAAGCAAAUCUGUGAAGCGUUUCAUAUUUUU